Molecule: ribosomal RNA, 43 nt
Filed under: uncultured fungus
Lineage: Eukaryota; Fungi
Description: partial 5.8S ribosomal RNA
Rfam family: 5.8S ribosomal RNA
About the family: 5.8S ribosomal RNA (5.8S rRNA) is a component of the large subunit of the eukaryotic ribosome. It is transcribed by RNA polymerase I as part of the 45S precursor that also contains 18S and 28S rRNA.
Source: RNAcentral
AACUUUCAACAACGGAUCUCUUGGCUCUCGCAUCGAUGAAGAA